GACGAACGCUGGCGGCGUGCCUAAUACAUGCAAGUUGAGCGAUGAAGAUUGGUGCUUGCACCAAUUUGAAGAGCAGCGAACGGGUGAGUAACGCGUGGGGAAUCUGCCUUUGAGCGGGGGACAACAUUUGGAAACGAAUGCUAAUACCGCAUAAUAACUUUAAACAUAAGUUUUAAGUUUGAAAGAUGCAAUUGCAUCACUCAAAGAUGAUCCCGCUUUGUAUUAGCUAGUUGGUGAGGUAAAGGCUCACCAAGGCGAUGAUACAUAGCCGACCUGAGAGGGUGAUCGGCCACAUUGGGACUGAGACACGGCCCAAACUCCUACGGGAGGCAGCAGUAGGGAAUCUUCGGCAAUGGACGAAAGUCUGACCGAGCAACGCCGCGUGAGUGAAGAAGGUUUUCGGAUCGUAAAACUCUGUUGGUAGAGAAGAACGUUGGUGAGAGUGGAAAGCUCAUCAAGUGACGGUAACUACCCAGAAAGGGACGGCUAACUACGUG
This 497-nucleotide ribosomal RNA is filed under the name uncultured bacterium. RNAcentral's name for it is "partial 16S ribosomal RNA". It matches the Rfam family "Bacterial small subunit ribosomal RNA", at positions 28 to 507 of the family's 1533-position model. The record is from RNAcentral.